This 253-nucleotide ribosomal RNA is filed under the name uncultured bacterium. Its description in RNAcentral is "partial 16S ribosomal RNA". It matches the Rfam family "Bacterial small subunit ribosomal RNA", at positions 524 to 776 of the family's 1533-position model. The record is from RNAcentral.
UACGGAGGGUGCGAGCGUUGUCCGGAAUCACUGGGCGUAAAGGGCGCGUAGGCGGCCUGAUAAGUAGGGGGUGAAAUCCUGCGGCUUAACCGCAGGGCUGCCUUCUAAACUGUCAGGCUAGAGCACAGUAGAGGCAGGUGGAAUUCCCGGUGUAGCGGUGGAAUGCGUAGAGAUCGGGAAGAACAUCAGUGGCGAAGGGGGCCUGCUGGGCUGUUGCUGACGCUGAGGCGCGACAGCGUGGGGAGCAAACAGG